RNAcentral lists this ribosomal RNA (446 nucleotides) under uncultured bacterium. RNAcentral describes it as "bacterial SSU rRNA". It matches the Rfam family "Bacterial small subunit ribosomal RNA", at positions 958 to 1398 of the family's 1533-position model. The record is from RNAcentral.
AACGCGAAGAACCUUACCAGGUCUUGACAUUCCGGGAUUAGUUCGGUGAAAGCCGGAUGAUUGCCCUCAAAGCGUAACCGGAACAGGUGCUGCAUGGCUGUCGUCAGCUCGUGCCGUGAGGUGUUAGGUUAAGUCCUUUAACGAGCGAAACCCCUACGAUUAGUUACCAACGCGUCAUGGCGGGGACUCUAGUCGGACUGCCGCGAAAGUAGGAGGAAGGUGGGGACGACGUCAAGUCAUCAUGGCCUUUAUGAUCUGGGCUACACACGUCCUACAAUGGGUGGUACAACGGGUUGCCAAGCCGCAAGGCGGAGCCAAUCCCCAAAAGCCACCCUCAGUUCAGAUUGUGGGCUGCAAUCCGCCCACAUGAAGCUGGAAUCGCUAGUAAUCGCGGAUCAGCUACGCCGCGGUGAAUAUGUUCCCGGGCCUUGUACACACCGGAGUGC